UCAAACCAAACAAAUUAAGCAGGUGUGUGUAGUACUCUUAAUGUGUUUAAAUUGAUGUUAAAGGCCUUCACAUUCCAUCUUACCUUUCUGGAACUUGACCUUUUUUUUGUUGCUCAAAUAUGUUUGGACUGUUCAAGCUUCCGCAGAUAUUUUGUCUGAAGUCAAAGAUGAUGAUUCAAAGAUUAAUUCAUAGCAAACCUCCUCAACAUCAAAUUGGCCCGUUGGAAACAGUGUUUGUGCUGACUGUGCUGACUUUAGCCACCUUGGGGCCUUCAGGAUGGAUCCUUGCCCACCUUGACUAUUACAAAAGUCGUGACUUAUACAAGAGUGCUGCUUAAAAGAUCAUGCACGUUAAAGCUAAUGUGUUCACAAGUAAUCAUGUUUGGUUACACAAAUAAACAGUGAUGCUUAAAUUCCA
Long non-coding RNA from Nerophis lumbriciformis (worm pipefish), 418 nucleotides. RefSeq lists it as uncharacterized. Lineage: Eukaryota; Metazoa; Chordata; Actinopteri; Syngnathiformes; Syngnathidae. The record is from RefSeq and is a predicted model, not a curated record.